UGCAGUCGAGCGGCAGCGCGGGGGCAACCCUGGCGGCGAGCGGCGGACGGGUGAGGAAUGCGUCGGAAUCUGCCUCUUUGUGGGGGAUAACGUAGGGAAACUUACGCUAAUACCGCAUACGACCUACGGGUGAAAGUGGGGGACCGCAAGGCCUCACGCAGAGAGAUGAGCCGACGCCGGAUUAGCUAGUUGGCGGGGUAAAGGCCCACCAAGGCGACGAUCCGUAGCUGGUCUGAGAGGAUGAUCAGCCACACUGGAACUGAGACACGGUCCAGACUCCUACGGGAGGCAGCAGUGGGGAAUAUUGGACAAUGGGCGCAAGCCUGAUCCAGCCAUGCCGCGUGUGUGAAGAAGGCCUUCGGGUUGUAAAGCACUUUUGUCCGGAAAGAAAUCCUUCGAGUUAAUACCUCGGAGGGAUGACGGUACCGGAAGAAUAAGCACCGGCUAACUUCGUGCCAGCAGCCGCGGUAAUACGAAGGGUGCAAGCGUUACUCGGAAUUACUGGGCGUAAAGCGUGCGUAGGUGGUUCGUUAAGUCUGAUGUGAAAGCCCUGGGCUCAACCUGGGAAUGGCAUUGGAUACUGGCGACCUAGAGUGCGGUAGAGGGGUGCGGAAUUCCCGGUGUAGCAGUGAAAUGCGUAGAUAUCGGGAGGAACAUCCGUGGCGAAGGCGGCACCCUGGACCAGCACUGACACU
Molecule: ribosomal RNA, 695 nt
Filed under: Lysobacter sp.
Lineage: Bacteria; Pseudomonadati; Pseudomonadota; Gammaproteobacteria; Lysobacterales; Lysobacteraceae
Description: bacterial SSU rRNA
Rfam family: Bacterial small subunit ribosomal RNA
Source: RNAcentral